This 28-nucleotide small RNA is filed under the name Bombyx mori (domestic silkworm). RNAcentral's name for it is "ovarian small RNA-3516". The record is from RNAcentral. Lineage: Eukaryota; Metazoa; Arthropoda; Insecta; Lepidoptera; Bombycidae.
UGAAACGAUUACAUACAUUUUUGGGCCC